CAGGGGCUGGGGGGGACGUGGGAAUGGAGAGUGACUGCUAAUGGAUAACAAGUUCUCUUUUACGUUAAUGAAAGUGUCCUGGAACUAGUUGACAGUGAUGCUUAUGAAUAUUAUGGGUUAACUUGAUGCCACUGAACUGCAUAUCCUAAAAUGACUAAAAUAUGUUUUAUGUUGUGUGUAUUUUAUUGCAACAAAUAAAAAGCAGGACAAGUAUCCAUCUAGCCAAAAUAUAGCCUGUGCAUUUUUAAAGCAAUUUUAAAGGUUUCUUUUUCCUCUUUGACCAUCUUGCAUGGAUGCAAUAAAACACAGUUCUGAAAUGCUAGGACGUCUGUCUGCACUAAAGAAGUCUCAUUCCAAUUUCAAGGGCUCACUUGCCUCUGGAACUGGCCUUGAGAAUGGGAGUGCCUACUCCUCCCUCAACAGCUGACGUAAAAGGGAGAACUUCCUGGAGGCCAGCCAAGAGCCUACUGGGGCAUAAUCAGGCUGCCCAGCUUGUUGGCUUGGACAUGGCUCCUCUCCACUUAGGAGGCUCUGCCCACUCACAUUCCAGGCCUCAGCUUGCCAUGUUUUCCUGUUAAGCCCAGAACCCUUCCCCUGGGUCCCUUCCUCAGAGGGGACAUGUUGGGAGCCACAGUCUCAGAGAUACUUGGGAUUUUAAACAUGAUGCAACUCUAGGGCUGACUUUGGAAUUCUGUGGGCUGUGCUUGGCCCAGAUCCCACCUUUGGGCCACUUUUGCUGCUGCUAUUAUUUUUAGUUGGUGGGGCAAUCAUUGUGUGCCUUUGUACAGUUUUCAUUUGGGAAGCCUUAGAGCUCUUUAACUCCACUCCAUUCUAUCACAUCCUUGUUUAGCAAUGAUCAUCCUUUUGCAUUACAAACUAGAAAAGCAACUCCGUAAGACUAACAAACUCUCUUCAACCAAGUAAAGGAGACUCCUUGUGGAGGGGAGCCCCUGCCCGCUCACCUGGAUGACCAUGCCUCACCUCUGCCGAUCACAUGCAAAUAUUUGUCCUGUUCUGAGACAUCCUCCUGGGUCCCAGCUUCUUCUCUUGAAGAUACAGAUUUCCAGUGCACCAUCAGAAGCCGAAGUAACUGUGAGUGGGAGGCAUUGGAGCCGGCUGGGAGGUAAGCAUUCGGGCCAGCAGGGAGGAGGAGUCGCCCAUGUAGCAGUGCUGGAUGACAACAUUCCCACACUGCCCUCGGACACAUCACAGACCCUGGUACCACAGGAUCCCUCUGAUUCAACUGAAGAGAGAUGCAGAGCUGCAUGCCACCAA
This 1275-nucleotide long non-coding RNA is filed under the name Homo sapiens (human). RNAcentral's name for it is "HSALNT0332567". Lineage: Eukaryota; Metazoa; Chordata; Mammalia; Primates; Hominidae. The record is from RNAcentral.